RNAcentral lists this non-coding RNA (29 nucleotides) under Mus musculus (house mouse). The record is from RNAcentral. Lineage: Eukaryota; Metazoa; Chordata; Mammalia; Rodentia; Muridae.
UGCAACUCGAAUGGCGGAGUGUCUCGAUG